Molecule: ribosomal RNA, 269 nt
Filed under: uncultured prokaryote
Description: partial 16S ribosomal RNA
Rfam family: Bacterial small subunit ribosomal RNA
Source: RNAcentral
GACGGGGGGAGCAAGCGUUGUUCGGAUUUACUGGGCGUAAAGGGCGUCUAGGCGGGUCGGUUAGUCAGAUGUGAAAUCCCACGGCUCAACCGUGGAAUUGCAUUUGAUACUGCCGGUCUUGAGUACGGAAGAGGAAAGCGGAAUUCCUGGUGUAGCGGUGAAAUGCGUAGAUAUCAGGAAGAACACCGGUGGCGAAGGCGGCUUUCUGGUCCGAUACUGACGCUGAAGCGCGAAAGUGUGGGGAGCAAACAGGAUUAGAUACCCCGGUA